This 253-nucleotide ribosomal RNA is filed under the name uncultured bacterium. Its description in RNAcentral is "partial 16S ribosomal RNA". It matches the Rfam family "Bacterial small subunit ribosomal RNA", at positions 524 to 776 of the family's 1533-position model. The record is from RNAcentral.
CACGUAGGGUGCAAGCGUUGUCCGGAAUUAUUGGGCGUAAAGGGCUCGUAGGCGGUCCGUCACGUCGGGAGUGAAAACUCGGGGCUCAACCCCGAGCCUGCUUUCGAUACGGGCGGAUUAGAGGUAGGUAGGGGAGAACGGAAUUCCUGGUGUAGCGGUGGAAUGCGCAGAUAUCAGGAGGAACACCGGUGGCGAAGGCGGUUCUCUGGGCCUUACCUGACGCUGAGGAGCGAAAGCGUGGGGAGCGAACAGG